Long non-coding RNA from Gasterosteus aculeatus (three-spined stickleback), 1394 nucleotides. Lineage: Eukaryota; Metazoa; Chordata; Actinopteri; Perciformes; Gasterosteidae. The record is from Ensembl.
CAGAGAGCGUUGAGCAGGAAGUGAAGGAGGCUGCUUCCACCGCCGGAGAUGCGACUGCUUCAAUUGACAAAACCAAAGCUGCCGCUGCAAAGAAAGGUGAUUAAACUCUGAGGUUACGUUGAGUCUUCAAUUCGAUUUAAUAAAGAAAUGCAAUAAAAAGACGAGCACAAUUAACAUUUAAAACCAACUAUGGAAUCAGAAUUAGAAUGCAAACGCUCUCCUGAGUCACUUCUUAUUGUUUUGCAGAGCCAACGUUAAGAAAAGAGAAAAAAAGUCCGACAGGGGUGAAGAAAGGUCACGACCGUUUCCACUUCACAUGAAUAUUAAUCGGUGACUAAAUCAGCGUUUUAUACAUUUAAGUCUGUUUGUUUCUCAGAGUCAGCCGUGAGAGACAAAACCAAACCUGCUGCUAAGAAAGGUAGAGAAUGCAAACUAAACAACGCCAGCUGCACAACACUGGCACGCGAAUAGAGAAACAACGCGUGAACUCUCUUAUCUCCUUUCGCAGACGCGGCUCUGAAAGAGAAAACCAAACCUGCUGCUAAGAAAGGUAGAGAUCAGCAGCCCGAGGGGUCGAAGAACGAUUCCUACUUUAUUUAUAAGACUGAUUCUCCUCCUCUGUGUGACGGAGCUUAUCGGGGAAAUGAUUCAGGCGACUAAUCGCCACUCUUUCCUCAUUAUUUCAGAGGCCGAAGCCGCUCGACAGCUGAAGAAAUCGGCCUCUGAGGAGAAAGAAGCGCCGCCCGCCAGGAGCAAAGUCAAGGCUUCUGUGGCCAAGAGAGGCCCAGAACCGCGUCCGCAGCCCACGGAACUGAGAUCCCGGCCGGAGGCGGCGAGGAGGGCGAAUGCCACGUCUCAGGCGAAGGAGCAGAAAGCCGCCGGGGCUCCGUCUGAACCAGACAAAACAAGAUCCAAAUUAUUGGCGGACAAGAAAAGCAGAGCUGAGAAGGCCGAGAGGAAAGGUGUCAGAGAGGCCGAAGAUGGAGACAAAGAACCAUCACAGGCCAAAGAAACGCAGGUCGAUGACAACGCGGCGGCAAAGAAGAAACCAAGCCAGCGGUACUUCCAGUGCAUCUACGUCCCCGGUAAAAGCGCACAGUACCCCUUGCGACCUUUGACCCCGGCCGUGUCCCCCGCCAUGAUGACGCCCGCCAUCAGGUCCAUGUUGGAGCAGCAGCAGAGGGCGGCGAGGACGUCGGGACAAUAGCCGGGUCUCCCCCACCGCCCCCACCCGCCCCUCACGCCCCCCCACCCACCCCCCCCGGUGCGUUCAGGCGUCCUUCGCCUCCGGAGGAGAGGAAACCACGGACGGAGAAGAGCGGACGCAGACUAUCGCGUCCUUUCAGUUAUUUGUGUGUUCAUGUCCCGCCCGCGGGGGGGUGGGGGGGGGGGGG